AGAACGAACGCUGGCGGCAUGCCUAACACAUGCAAGUCGAACGGAUGGCUUCGGCCAUUAGUGGCGCACGGGUGCGUAACGCGUGGGAAUCUGCCCUUAGGUUCGGAAUAACUCAGGGAAACUUGAGCUAAUACCGGAUAAUGUCUUCGGACCAAAGAUUUAUUGCCUAGGGAUGAGCCCGCGUAGGAUUAGCUUGUUGGUGAGGUAAAAGCUCACCAAGGCGACGAUCCUUAGCUGGUCUGAGAGGAUGAUCAGCCACACUGGGACUGAGACACGGCCCAGACUCCUACGGAGCAGCAGUGGGGAUAUGACAAUGGGCGAAAGCCUGAUCCAGCAAUGACCGCGUGAGUGAUGAAGCCUUAGGGUGUAAAGCUCGUUUACCGGGAUGAUAAUGACAGUACCGGAGAAUAAGCUCCGGCUAACUCCGUGCCAGCCAGCCGA
Molecule: ribosomal RNA, 441 nt
Filed under: uncultured soil bacterium
Lineage: Bacteria
Description: bacterial SSU rRNA
Rfam family: Bacterial small subunit ribosomal RNA
Source: RNAcentral